AAAGGUCUUGGUCUUGAACCUCACAUUAUCUAAAACCAUCUGUUUAUACAUGCAAGUCUCCCCACAACGGUGAAACAACUAUGAAACCUAUAGCCGGUAUCAGCCACCCCGCCAUGACACCAAGCCCCAGCCACACCCCCACGGGUAACACAGCAGUAAUUAAUAUUAGGCCAUAAGUGAAAACUUGACCAAGCUAGAUGGACAUACUAGGGCCGGUUAAUCUCGUGCCAGCGACCGCGGUUAUACGAAAGACCCAAGAUAAUAUUCACGGCGUAAAAAUGACUAAAAUAUUAGUUCAAGCCUUAGGAAAGAAGCUUCGGACUGGGCCGUAAAAAGCCAUAAGCCCCCCUAAUCCCCCCCCCUAAUGCCCCCACAACUUCGACUCAUGAAAGCUAAGAUACAAACUAGGAUUAGAUACCCUACUAUGCCUAGCCGUAACACGCAAUUAAACUACCAAUUGCCCGCCAAACAACUACGAGUUACACUUAAAACUUAAAAGACUUGACGGUACUUCACUACACCCUAGAGGAGCCUGUCCAAUAACCGACAACCCACGAUUAACCCAACCCUCCCUUGCCUACAGUCUAUAUACCGCCGUCGCAAGCCUACCUCAUAAGAGGAAUAAAGUAGGCCAAGCAGUGCUCACACUAAAACGACAGGUCGAGGUGUAACUCAUGAGAGGGACCAAGAUGGGCUACACUCUCACAUCGAGAACACGGAAAAAACCCCGAAAUUAGUCUUUAAAGGUGGAUUUAGCAGUAAGAUAGGAAUAAAACACCUAACUGAACAUAACGCAAUGAAGUGCGUACACACCGCCCGUCAUCCCUGCCACCACAACACAAACCUUAAUUUAACAACCUAAAUACAUCAAACAGGGCAAGUCGUAACAUGGUAAGUGUACUGGAAAGUGCACUUAGAAA
RNAcentral lists this non-coding RNA (920 nucleotides) under Bothrops diporus. Lineage: Eukaryota; Metazoa; Chordata; Lepidosauria; Squamata; Viperidae. The record is from RNAcentral.